Molecule: ribosomal RNA, 440 nt
Filed under: uncultured bacterium
Lineage: Bacteria
Description: partial 16S ribosomal RNA
Rfam family: Bacterial small subunit ribosomal RNA
Source: RNAcentral
CCUACGGGAGGCAGCAGUGGGGAAUAUUGCACAAUGGGGGAAACCCUGAUGCAGCGACGCCGCGUGAGUGAAGAAGUAAUUCGUUAUGUAAAGCUCUAUCAGCAGGGAAGAAAAUGACGGUAUCUGUGUAAGAAGCCCCGGCUAACUACGUGCCAGCAGCCGCGGUAAUACGUAGGGGGCAAGCGUUAUCCGGAUUUACUGGGUGUAAAGGGAGCGUAGACGGCAGUGCAAGUCUGGAGUGAAAGGCGGGGGCUCAACCCCCGGACUGCUCUGGAAACUGUACGGCUGGAGUGCAGGAGAGGUAAGUAGAAUUCCUGGUGUAGCGGUGAAAUGCGUAGAUAUUAGGAGGAACACCAGUGGCGAAGGCGGCUUACUGGACUGUAACUGACGUUGAGGCUCGAAAGCGUGGGGAGCAAACAGGAUUAGAUACCCCUGUAGUC